UACGGGGGGUGCGAGCGUUGUCCGGAAUCACUGGGCGUAAAGGGCGCGUAGGUGGUUUGAUAAGGGUGUGGUGAAAGUCCGGGGCUCAACCCCGGAUCUGCCGUGCCGACUGUCAAACUCGAGGACUGUAGAGGCAGACGGAAUUCCGGGUAUAGCGGUGGAAUGCGUAGAGAUCCGGAGGAAGACCGGUGGCGAAGGCGGUUCUCUGGGCAUUACCUGACGCUGAGGAGCGAAAGUGUGGGGAGCGAACAGG
RNAcentral lists this ribosomal RNA (253 nucleotides) under uncultured bacterium. Its description in RNAcentral is "partial 16S ribosomal RNA". It matches the Rfam family "Bacterial small subunit ribosomal RNA", at positions 524 to 776 of the family's 1533-position model. The record is from RNAcentral.